CGAACGGGUGCGUAACACGUGAGCAACCUACCUAGGUGUGGGGGGAUAGCCGGCCCAACGGCCGGGUAAUACCGCAUACGCUCUUCUUUAGGCAUUUAGAGGAGAGGAAACCUUCGGGGCACUAUGAGGGGCUCGCGGCCUAUCAGCUAGUUGGCGAGGUAAUGGCUCACCAAGGCGACGACGGGUAGCUGGUCUGAGAGGAUGGCCAGCCACAUUGGGACUGAGAAACGGCCCAG
This 236-nucleotide ribosomal RNA is filed under the name uncultured bacterium. RNAcentral describes it as "partial 16S ribosomal RNA". It matches the Rfam family "Bacterial small subunit ribosomal RNA", at positions 99 to 334 of the family's 1533-position model. The record is from RNAcentral.